Molecule: non-coding RNA, 759 nt
Organism: Myodes glareolus (Bank vole)
Lineage: Eukaryota; Metazoa; Chordata; Mammalia; Rodentia; Cricetidae
Source: RefSeq, a predicted model, not a curated record
UAUGGGAGAGUCCUAGGCCUUCUCAAAAUCUUUAAAAGGAGGGUCUUGUUUUACAUUCACAGCUGGAGCAAUGGAGGCAGGGACAUCGUCUGAGAAGUGUCUGUGGGAGAGCCAGGGAGUCAGUGUGAGGCCAAAGGGAAGUCUGAGGUCCUGUCAGCCCCUUUCUCUGUCUGAUCAGAUUGGAGUCUGAAGUCUCCAGAUCCGAACCUCUGGCACAGCAUGGCACUUAAGAGUACCGUUUCUCCCCAGGUGUGACACCUACCCAUUGUACCCCCUAGACCCAGUCCUCCCAGUAAUCCAGUUGAAGCCAGCCGGCAGUUAGGCGAUCUGGGAACAGGCUGGGCUGGAAAGUGCCCAUUUCCCGGUGUGCUGUGUGAAAGUCUCUAAACUCAGUCAGUGCGUCUGACUUUAAAAAGUGAGUCCACUGCAUCACCUGUACCAACCAGUGCCACCUCCCCUUUGCUGACCAUCUUGGACCUAACCUCCUUCCCACUGGCCACUCCAGGACUUCCAUCAGUGCCAACGGAUCAAGAGGCAGCGUCGAGUCGCGUACAGAAAGAAACAGAAACUGGGGUCCUAGAUGUCUUUGACAUGCUUUCUUCUCUCAGAGUGUUGGCUUCCAACCUGGAGAAUUCAAGCAGAAUAGGAAAAUGGAGAUCUGAGGCAAAGAAGAAAAACUGUGAGCAUCUGCUCUUCCUGAUGAUAAAUACAUGGCAUCUGUUAUAGCCUUUCUGUAUGAUUACUAUUUAAUAAUUUAAA